Long non-coding RNA from Macaca mulatta (Rhesus monkey), 2166 nucleotides. The record is from Ensembl. NCBI's taxonomy places the organism in Eukaryota, Metazoa, Chordata, Mammalia, Primates, Cercopithecidae.
AGCGCGCGGUAGGCCGUGCUGGGACUCAGAGCCCGAAAACUGAUUUGAGGGGCGUCUUGACCGAAGACUGUGAAACUGCAUUGCAAACAGUGGUCUCAGCUACUAAGGAGUAACAAACAGCUCUUUCAUCUGGAAGAACUGUGUGCAAAGGAAGGAGUGAGGAGAGAAGGGACACCCGGAACCUGAAGAACCUGUGACUUGGAUGCACAGCCUCUAAGUAAUCCCAAGUGAACCGUGUGAACCUGCAGUCAGUGUCUAUGGCCACGAGGCAGAACACACAAACACCAGGCCUCAAGAUUCUCACCAAGAUCGUGUCAUGAGACAGGACCUCGCCGCCCAGCCCCCGCCUCCCAAUAACAGGAUUACGAGGCUCAGUGCGGUUACUGCUGGCACAGCGAGCCACAGAUGUAGCCAGGACUGGGUGCCAAUCGACGGAUUCCCAAUAUUGUCUUCCAGUUGCUAGACUACGCUGCUUUCCAGUACAUUAUUUGGAAUAUAAAAACUAAAAUGAGAACAAUGUGACCGAAGGCAAUUGAUGUGAACACAAGAAUCAACAACAUAGAGGAGACACAGUCCCAGGUGUAAAGAGGGGAGCUGUCUCUCCCUGUGGCCUCAACAGAAGGAGAGGGUUGUCAGCCUAGGAUGCAGACUCACUGUCUCAUCCUAAGGGUCGGUCCAACUGCCAUAGGAGAUUUCGGAACAACUGUCCUCACUUGAGGGUCGACAUGCUGUACAGUCCAUGGGGCCCGCUGGACAGUCGCAGUCCCAGAUCACUUCUCCUACUGGCUUUCCUCAGGAGCUCACACUACCCGUCUCAGCCCCAAGAUGUUCCUUGUGUCUGCUCCUGUUCCUGACUCAAACACGGGUUGUUUGCCAUCAGUUCUGUACCCUGUUUUAUCAACAUUGUUAUUGUCAUAUCUUAUAAUGUUUGUUUGUUUGUUUGUUUGUUUUUGAGACAGAGUCUGUCAUCCAGGCUGGAGUGCAGUGGUGGGAUCACAGCUCACUGCAGCCUCCAGCUCCCAGGCUCAGGUGAUCCUCACACCUCAGCCUCCCAAGUUAGCUGUAACUACAGGUGCACACCACCACCCUCAGCUGAUUUUUUUUGUAUUUUUUAUAGAGAUGGAGUUUUGCCAUGUUGCCCAGGCUGGUCUCGAACUCCUGAGCUCAAGCAGUCUGACCUUCCUGGUCUCCCAAAGUGCUGGGCUCACAGGCAUAAGACACCACACCCAACCUCAUUUUAUAAUCUUUUAAAAUUAUUUUUUCCCUUGAAUAUUCUUUGGAAAGUUUUUGAAGAUAUGGCUCUGACUUAGCGUGUUUUGUGCUGCUCUAACAGAAUGCCUGGGACUGGGUAAUUCAUAAUGAACAAAAAUUUAUUUCUCACAGUUCUGAAGGCUGAGAAAUCCAAGAUCAAGGCGCCAGCAUCUGGCGAGGGCCUAUUUACUGCAUCAUCCCAUGGCAGAAGGCGGAUGGGCAGGAGUGGGUGGGACAGAAAGACAGACCAAAGGGGGCUGAACUCAUUCCUUUAUAAGGAACCCACUCCUGAAAUAAUGGCAUUAAUCCAUCGUCCAUUAAACACCUCUGAAAGGUCCUGCCUCCCAACAUCUCUGUAUUGGGGAUCAAGUUUCCAGCAUAUGGAUGUUGAGGGACACAUUCAAACCAUAGCAGGCACUAAACCAAGGUCUUUCCUUCCCCCUCUCUGGCGUCUCUACCCACUGGGCACAGCUGCACUGGCCGCCCUGCUGAUGCCCAUCGACACCAGACACACACCCACCUCAGGAUCUUGGCACAUGCCCUUCCCUCCAGCUGAAACACUUGCCAGGCCAUCCCCACAGCUCCCUCCCUUCUUUUCCAUCUUGACUCACAUGCCCCCUCCCCUGGAUCUUGCAUGCAUGUUCUUCCACACGUGAUUCCCCCGGCUUCUAGCCCCAUCUGAAAUAGCACAUGUUACUUGUUCCUUAUCUGCCUCCCCCUCUAGAGUGCCAACUCUGCCUGGCAGGGAUUUUUGACUCUCGCCUACUGCCACAGCCUGGUGCCAGCACAGUGCCAGGCAUGUUCACCCUGCAGCAUUUACUGAGUGCCGUGCCCACUGCACACCAGGCCCUAGUCUUGGAUGCUUUUGCAAAUGUUUCUCCAGUGAUUGAAGAACUAAAAUUCUUUAAACUCAAA